GGGGGGAAAAAAGACGCGUCCCUGGUGGAAGAGAGAAGACUGACACAACAGCAGACUGAGUGUUUUUCAGUUCUGAUUAGACACUAGUGUUGAGAUGUCUGUCUGUCAUGAUAGCAUGUACUGAGUCGGGGCCUGUACCAGAUAAGCACAUUAAACUAUAAUCCAUAAACGUAAGGUAACAACCGAGACCUAAUGGUGCUGUGACAGCAACGCGAUUGAGUUUGAGACAGUGAAAAUACAUAUGGUAUGUUGUAUCUGAACAGGUUAGCUAACGAGCUAAAGUUACUUAGCACAGAUGAAAGUUAAAACAAAGACGUUUAGCAAACUGUUAAAGCACACAAACCAUCGUCAUAUGAGAGAUCCG
RNAcentral lists this long non-coding RNA (364 nucleotides) under Xyrichtys novacula (pearly razorfish). The record is from RNAcentral. Lineage: Eukaryota; Metazoa; Chordata; Actinopteri; Labriformes; Labridae.